UACACUCCUACGGGAGGCAGCAGUGGGGAAUAUUGCACAAUGGGCGCAAGCCUGAUGCAGCCAUGCCGCGUGUAUGAAGAAGGCCUUCGGGUUGUAAAGUACUUUCAGCGGGGAGGAAGGCAAUACGGUUAAUAACCGUGUUGAUUGACGUUACCCGCAGAAGAAGCACCGGCUAACUCCGUGCCAGCAGCCGCGGUAAUACGGAGGGUGCAAGCGUUAAUCGGAAUUACUGGGCGUAAAGCGCACGCAGGCGGUCUGUCAAGUCGGAUGUGAAAUCCCCGGGCUCAACCUGGGAACUGCAUUCGAAACUGGCAGGCUUGAGUCUUGUAGAGGGGGGUAGAAUUCCAGGUGUAGCGGUGAAAUGCGUAGAGAUCUGGAGGAAUACCGGUGGCGAAGGCGGCCCCCUGGACAAAGACUGACGCUCAGGUGCGAAAGCGUGGGGAGCAAACAGGAUUAGAUACCCCGGUAGUCCCAUG
Molecule: ribosomal RNA, 476 nt
Filed under: uncultured organism
Description: partial 16S ribosomal RNA
Rfam family: Bacterial small subunit ribosomal RNA
Source: RNAcentral